RNAcentral lists this non-coding RNA (24 nucleotides) under Arabidopsis thaliana (thale cress). The record is from RNAcentral. Lineage: Eukaryota; Viridiplantae; Streptophyta; Magnoliopsida; Brassicales; Brassicaceae.
AUCAGAUAAAAGACAAUUGGUGAC